UCGCCCAUUUUCAUAACAUAAAUAUCUCUCUCUCUCUCACUUUCAUGUCAAUUUUGUAUUUCUAUUUAUGUUUAUAUAACACCCAAUAAUGGCCAUGUUAUACGCAGGAAAUUAUGCUAAUUUGUGGGCUCAACGUAUUCGUAUAUACAUAUGUAUAGACGUACCUACAAUGAAAAUUGGUAAUAUUAAUGGUAAUAAUAUUCGCCAGUGAAAUCAUUAAUCAAUUGUGAAAUUGGGUGGGGUAGACCCACGGAGUAAAACUCAAAAAUCAAACACCGAUUCCAGUGCAAUGACCAAUCGACUAUACUUAUGGAUAGUAUCGUUUCACAACAGUCCGCGGGUCUCGAAGCUAUGAAUACCUAAGCAGGCCCAGGGUGGCUCCAAAGUAUUCAGUACCGAGUACUUUAUACUCGGCAGUCAGCAGCAAGAAACGAGGUCCAACACCCAACCUCAAAUGGAGUUGGCGUCGUGGCUGAAUGCCCUCACGUACCAUUUGACGUCGGCAGAUAGUGGACUCAAGUCGGACGCGACUUAAACAUGGCUGGAAUUGGAUGGUGAUGAUGGCGCGUCGAAUAACCGUUAUGAUUACGCCGUUGGUCUAUGAGAUGCUACAAAUACGAAUUUACUAAUUAUGAUCUUCUGACUUCUCUACAUCAAAUUGCACUGCGCACUGCAACGCUGCCAUCUAAAUCUUAGAUGAUUGUGUGUAAAUCCGUCGACAAGUUGCAACUGUCUGCGAGCAGCAGGCGACGGGCAACUGGCAACUGGCAACUCGCUGUGCUACUUAAUGUGCAUAUGUCUGCUUGCGGAGGAGAGGAGUCUGGUCUCAGUCGCAGUCGCAGUCGCAGUUGUAGUCGCUGCGAAUCUAUCGUAUAUAAAUAUUUACAAGUGAUUGGUCUUGUCUCUAAGUUUCAGACAGGUUUCACUAUAUUCAAUCGACGACACGGGCUGUAUUUUGUUUUGUUUUUGGGCUCUGUGUGGCAACUACAACUACAACUACAAUUGUGACUGUGAGAGCAACGGUAUCGGUAUCGUUCCGGGUUCGAUUCCGUCCCGUUUGCACGAUUACGUGUCAAGAGUUGCAGCCAGCCAUGUUUAAGUCCGAAUAUACAGGUAGACAUAUCUAUAUAGUAUGCAACAUAUCUAUAAAUUUGAAGUUUACAUAUGUAUUUUCAUUUGGCAUUGUAAUACAUAAUACUGGUUUGGAUGCAAGACCCCAAGAGCACAGAAGACAGACGUGUCUGCUCUUGUGCAUUGCUUUGAUUUGAUCUUGCGAAAGCGAAAGUUUAUUUAUUUUUCUUGUAUAUACAUAUAUACGAGUAUGUGUGCUAAUAAAUUAUAUUGUUUAUCAUUUGGGGAGCCCAGCCCAAGCGCCAGACAGCCGCAGC
Drosophila albomicans is the source of this 1388-nucleotide long non-coding RNA. RefSeq lists it as uncharacterized. Lineage: Eukaryota; Metazoa; Arthropoda; Insecta; Diptera; Drosophilidae. The record is from RefSeq and is a predicted model, not a curated record. The transcript is spliced from 3 exons.